UACGGAUGAUGCAAGCGUUAUCCGGAUUUAUUGGGUUUAAAGGGUGCGCAGGUUGUUUGAUAAGUCAGUGGUGAAAGUCUGUCGCUUAACGGUAGGAUUGCCAUUGAUACUGUUGGACUUGAAUAUGGAUGAGGUAGGCGGAAUGUGUAGUGUAGCGGUGAAAUGCAUAGAUAUUACACAGAACACCGAUUGCGAAGGCAGCUUACUAAUCCAUCAUUGACGCUGAGGCACGAAAGCGUGGGGAUCAAA
Molecule: ribosomal RNA, 249 nt
Filed under: uncultured prokaryote
Description: partial 16S ribosomal RNA
Rfam family: Bacterial small subunit ribosomal RNA
Source: RNAcentral